RNAcentral lists this ribosomal RNA (468 nucleotides) under uncultured bacterium. RNAcentral describes it as "partial 16S ribosomal RNA". It matches the Rfam family "Bacterial small subunit ribosomal RNA", at positions 28 to 507 of the family's 1533-position model. The record is from RNAcentral.
GACGAACGCUGGCGGCGUGCUUAACACAUGCAAGUCGAACGGAAAGGCCCUGCUUUUGUGGGGUGCUCGAGUGGCGAACGGGUGAGUAACACGUGAGUAACCUGCCCUUGACUUUGGGAUAACUUCAGGAAACUGGGGCUAAUACCGGAUAGGAGCUCCUGCUGCAUGGUGGGGGUUGGAAAGUUUCGGCGGUUGGGGAUGGACUCGCGGCUUAUCAGCUUGUUGGUGGGGUAGUGGCUUACCAAGGCUUUGACGGGUAGCCGGCCUGAGAGGGUGACCGGCCACAUUGGGACUGAGGUGCGGCCCAGAGUCCUACGGGAGGCAGCAGUGGGGAAUAUUGCACGAUGGGCGGAAGCCGGAUGCAGCAACGCCGCGUGCGGGAUGACGGCCUUCGGGUUGUAAACCGCUUUCGCCUGUGACGAAGCGUGAGUGACGGUAAUGGGUAAAGAAGCACCGGCUAACUACGUG